RNAcentral lists this ribosomal RNA (468 nucleotides) under uncultured bacterium. Its description in RNAcentral is "partial 16S ribosomal RNA". It matches the Rfam family "Bacterial small subunit ribosomal RNA", at positions 28 to 507 of the family's 1533-position model. The record is from RNAcentral.
GACGAACGCUGGCGGCGUGCUUAACACAUGCAAGUCGAACGGAAAGGCCCUGCUUUUGUGGGGUGCUCGAGUGGCGAACGGGUGAGUAACACGUGAGUAACCUGCCCUUGACUUUGGGAUAACUUCAGGAAACUGGGGCUAAUACCGGAUAGGAGCUCCUGCUGCAUGGUGGGGGUUGGAAAGUUUCGGCGGUUGGGGAUGGACUCGCGGCUUAUCAGCUUGUUGGUGGGGUAGUGGCUUACCAAGGCUUUGACGGGUAGCCGGCCUGAGAGGGUGACCGGCCACAUUGGGACAGAGAUACGGCCCAGACUCCUAUGGGAGGCAGAAGUGGGGAAUAUUGCACAAUGGGCGGAAGCCUGAUGCAGCAACGCCGCGUGCGGGAUGAGGGCCUUCGGGUUGUAAACCGCUUUCGCCUGUGACGAAGCGUGAGUGACGGUAAUGGGUAAAGAAGCACCGGCUAACUACGUG